GAAAUGCGAUAAGUAAUGUGAAUUGCAGAAUUCAGUGAAUCAUCGAAUCUUUGAACGCACCUUGCGCUCCUUGGUAUUCCUUGGAGCAUGCCUGUUUGAGUAUCAUGAAAUCUUCAAAGUAAAUCUUUUGUUAACUCAAUUGGCUUCUACUUUGGUAUUGGAGGUCUUUGCAGCUUCACACCUGCUCCUCUUUGUUCAUUAGCUGGAUCUCAGUGUUAUGCUUGGUUCCACUCGGCGUGAUAAGUUAUCUAUCGCUGAGGACACUGUAAAAGGUGGCCAAGGUAAAUGCAGAUGAACCGCUUCUAAUAGUCCAUUGACUUGGACAAUACUUUUAUGAUCUGAUCUCAAAUCAGGUAGGACUACCCGCUGAACUUAAGCA
Molecule: unclassified non-coding RNA, 379 nt
Filed under: plant metagenome
Description: partial contains 5.8S ribosomal RNA, internal transcribed spacer 2, and large subunit ribosomal RNA
Rfam family: 5.8S ribosomal RNA (bases 1-105)
Source: RNAcentral